RNAcentral lists this ribosomal RNA (484 nucleotides) under uncultured bacterium. RNAcentral describes it as "partial 16S ribosomal RNA". It matches the Rfam family "Bacterial small subunit ribosomal RNA", at positions 28 to 523 of the family's 1533-position model. The record is from RNAcentral.
GACGAACGCUGGCGGCGUGCUUAACACAUGCAAGUCGAACGAUGAACCCGGAGCUUGCUCCGGUGGAUUAGUGGCGAACGGGUGAGUAACACGUGAGUAACCUGCCCUCGACUCCGGGAUAACUGCGGGAAACUGUAGCUAAUACCGGAUACGACCCUCGGCGGCAUCGCCAGGGGGUGGAAAGAAUUUCGGUCAAGGAUGGACUCGCGGCCUAUCAGCUAGUUGGUGAGGUAACGGCUCACCAAGGCGACGACGGGUAGCCGGCCGGGGAGGGUGACCGGCCACGGUGGGGAUGAGAAACGGCCCAGGAUCCUAAGGGAGGCAGCAGUGGGGAAUAUUGCACAAUGGGCGCAAGCCUGAUGCAGCAACGCCGCGUGAGGGAUGACGGCCUUCGGGUUGUAAACCUCUUUUAGUAGGGAAGAAGCAAAAGUGACGGUACCUGCAGAAAAAGCACCGGCUAACUACGUGCCAGCCGCCGCCGUAA